GACGAACGCUGGCGGCGUGCUUAACACAUGCAAGUCGAACGGAAAGGCCCUGCUUUUGUGGGGUGCUCGAGUGGCGAACGGGUGAGUAACACGUGAGUAACGUGCCCCUGACUGUGGGAUAACCUCAGGAAACUGGGGGUAAUACCGGAUAGGAGCUCUUGCUGCAUGGUGGGGGUUGGUAAGUUUCGGCGGUUGGGGAUGGACUCGCGGCCUAUCGGCUUGUUGGUUUGGUAGUGGCUUACCAAGGCUUUGCCGCGUAGCAGGGCUGGGAGGAUGACCGGCCCAGUUAGGACGGAAAUGCGGCACGGCCUAGAACGGGACGCAGGGGAGGAGAGUGGAACAUUGUAGAAGGGGCGAUGGUGCGACAACGCAGCGUGGCGGAUGACAGCAUGCGCGUUGUGAAGCAAUGUCGCCUGAGACGGGACGUGAGUGACGGUAAUGGGUAAAGAAGCACCGGCUAACUACGUG
Molecule: ribosomal RNA, 468 nt
Filed under: uncultured bacterium
Lineage: Bacteria
Description: partial 16S ribosomal RNA
Rfam family: Bacterial small subunit ribosomal RNA
Source: RNAcentral